RNAcentral lists this long non-coding RNA (229 nucleotides) under Nicotiana benthamiana. RNAcentral's name for it is "long non-coding RNA (NBEN_LNC036544)". The record is from RNAcentral. Lineage: Eukaryota; Viridiplantae; Streptophyta; Magnoliopsida; Solanales; Solanaceae.
UUGGGUUUAGUUUGACAAGCAGGCUAGAAAAUCAUGGUUAAAGUGAACAAGUGGGAAAUCAAAGAAGGGUUAAUUGGUAAAUACUGAAACCAUUUCUGCUGCGCUAGAGGCUUUCUAUAAAAAGGCAUGUUUCUUCAUUGUCCUGGGAGACUGGUGAGAUUAGAGAUUGAAAAAAUACAAACUACAACUAUUGAUACUCUGAAAAAAGCCCUAAAAGUUCCUGCAUUCU